Molecule: ribosomal RNA, 770 nt
Filed under: uncultured bacterium
Lineage: Bacteria
Description: bacterial SSU rRNA
Rfam family: Bacterial small subunit ribosomal RNA
Source: RNAcentral
AGAGUUUGAUCCUGGCUCAGGACGAACGCUGGCGGCGUGCUUAACACAUGCAAGUCGAGCGGAAAGGCCCUUCGGGGUACUCGAGCGGCGAACGGGUGAGUAACACGUGAGCAACCUGCCCCUGGCUCUGGGAUAGCUCCCGGAAACGGGGAUUAAUACCGGAUAUGACCUCUCUGGGCAUCUUGGGGGGUGGAAAGUUUUUCGGCCAGGGUGGGGCUCGCGGCCUAUCAGCUUGUUGGCAGGGUGAUGGCCUACCAAGGCGACGACGGGUAGCCGGCCUGAGAGGGCGGGCGGCCACACUGGGACUGAGACACGGCCCAGACUCCUACGGGAGGCAGCAGUGGGGAAUAUUGCGCAAUGGGCGGAAGCCUGACGCAGCGACGCCGCGUGCGGGAUGAAGGCCUUCGGGUUGUAAACCGCUUUCACCGGGGACGAAGCGUGAGUGACGGUACCCGGGGAAGAAGCGCCGGCUAACUACGUGCCAGCAGCCGCGGUAAUACGUAGGGCGCAAGCGUUGUCCGGAAUUAUUGGGCGUAAAGAGCUCGUAGGCGGCUGGUUGCGUCUGCUGUGAAAUCCCGGGGCUUAACCCCGGGCGUGCAGUGGAUACGGGCCGGCUGGAGGCAGGCAGGGGAGAAUGGAAUUCCCGGUGUAGCGGUGAAAUGCGCAGAUAUCGGGAGGAACACCGGUGGCGAAGGCGGUUCUCUGGGCCUGUACUGACGCUGAGGAGCGAAAGCGUGGGGAGCGAACAGGAUUAGAUACCCUAGUAGUCC